AGUGAACGCUGGCGGUAGGCCUAACACAUGCAAGUCGAACGGCAGCACAGUAAGAGCUUGCUCUUACGGGUGGCGAGUGGCGGACGGGUGAGGAAUACAUCGGAAUCUACUUUUUCGUGGGGGAUAACGUAGGGAAACUUACGCUAAUACCGCAUACGACCUACGGGUGAAAGCAGGGGAUCUUCGGACCUUGCGCGAUUGAAUGAGCCGAUGUCGGAUUAGCUAGUUGGCGGGGUAAAGGCCCACCAAGGCGACGAUCCGUAGCUGGUCUGAGAGGAUGAUCAGCCACACUGGAACUGAGACACGGUCCAGACUCCUACGGGAGGCAGCAGUGGGGAAUAUUGGACAAUGGGCGCAAGCCUGAUCCAGCCAUACCGCGUGGGUGAAGAAGGCCUUCGGGUUGUAAAGCACUUUUGUUGGGAAAGAAAAGCAGCAGGUUAAUACCCCGCUGUUCUGACGGUACCCACAGAAUAAGCACCGGCUAACUUUGUG
This 492-nucleotide ribosomal RNA is filed under the name uncultured bacterium. RNAcentral describes it as "partial 16S ribosomal RNA". It matches the Rfam family "Bacterial small subunit ribosomal RNA", at positions 29 to 507 of the family's 1533-position model. The record is from RNAcentral.